RNAcentral lists this ribosomal RNA (253 nucleotides) under uncultured bacterium. RNAcentral's name for it is "partial 16S ribosomal RNA". It matches the Rfam family "Bacterial small subunit ribosomal RNA", at positions 524 to 776 of the family's 1533-position model. The record is from RNAcentral.
GACGAACCGUGCGAACGUUGUUCGGAAUCACUGGGCUUAAAGGGCGCGUAGGCGGGCUGGUAAGUCCGGGGUGAAAUCCUGCAGCUCAACUGCAGAAGUGCCUUGGAUACUGCCAGUCUCGAGGGAGGUAGGGGCAUGUGGAACUUCCGGUGGAGCGGUGAAAUGCGUAGAUAUCGGAAGGAACGCCGGUGGCGAAAGCGACGUGCUGGACCUCUACUGACGCUGAGGCGCGAAAGCCAGGGGAGCAAACGGG